CGCCUGUUUAACAAAAACAUGUCCUUUUGAAUGUAUUUAAGGUCUGACCUGCCCAGUGAUUUAUUUUAACGGCCGCGGUAUAUUGACCGUGCAAAGGUAGCAUAAUCAUUAGUCUUUUAAAAGAGGGCUGGAAUGAAAGGUUUGACGAGGUAUUAACUGUCUCAUUUUAUUUGUAUUUAGAAUUUAACCUUUUAGUCAAAAGGCUUAAAUUUAAUUGGAAGACGAGAAGACCCUAUAGAGCUUUAUAAUAAUUAUUUUAAUUAUAAAUAUAUAAUUUUUAACUAAAUAUUUUAUUAUUUUGUUGGGGUGACAGAAAAAUAAAAUUAACUUUUUUAUUUAUAUAACAUUAAUUUAUGGUUAUUCGAUCCAUUAUUAUUGAUUAUUAGAUUAAGUUACCUUAGGGAUAACAGCG
Molecule: ribosomal RNA, 412 nt
Filed under: Somatochlora graeseri
Lineage: Eukaryota; Metazoa; Arthropoda; Insecta; Odonata; Corduliidae
Description: partial 16S ribosomal RNA
Rfam family: Archaeal large subunit ribosomal RNA (bases 1-208)
Source: RNAcentral